GACGAACGCUGGCGGCGUGCCUAAUACAUGCAAGUUGAGCGAUGAAGAUUGGUGCUUGCCCCAAUUUGAAGAGCAGCGAACGGGUGAGUAACGCGUGGGGAAUCUGCCUUUGAGCGGGGGACAACAUUUGGAAACGAAUGCUAAUACCGCAUAACAACUUUAAGCAUAAGUUUUAAGUUUGAAAGAUGCAAUUGCAUCACUCAAAGAUGAUCCCGCGUUGUAUUAGCUAGUUGGUGAGGUAAAGGCUCACCGAGGCGAUGAUACAUAGCCGACCUGAGAGGGUGAUCGGCCACAUUGGGACUGAGACACGGCCCAAACUCCUACGGGAGGCAGCAGUAGGGAAUCUUCGGCAAUGGACGAAAGUCUGACCGAGCAACGCCGCGUGAGUGGAGAAGGUUUUCGGAUCGUAAAACUCUGUUGGUAGAGAAGAACGUUGGUGAGAGUGAAAAGCUCAUCAAGUGACGGUAACUACCCAGAAAGGGACGGCUAACUACGUG
This 497-nucleotide ribosomal RNA is filed under the name uncultured bacterium. RNAcentral describes it as "partial 16S ribosomal RNA". It matches the Rfam family "Bacterial small subunit ribosomal RNA", at positions 28 to 507 of the family's 1533-position model. The record is from RNAcentral.